GACGAACGCUGGCGGCGUGCUUAACACAUGCAAGUCGAACGGAAAGGCCCUGCUUUUGUGGGGUGCUCGAGUGGCGAACGGGUGAGUAACACGUGAGUAACCUGCCCUUGACUUUGGGAUAACUUCAGGAAACUGGGGCUAAUACCGGAUAGGAGCUCCUGCUGCAUGGUGGGGGUUGGAAAGUUUCGGCGGUUGGGGAUGGACUCGCGGCUUAUCAGCUUGUUGGUGGGGUAGUGGCUUACCAAGGCUUUGACGGGUAGCCGGCCUGAGAGGGUGACCGGGGACACAGGGACAGAGAGACGCGGCAGACGCCUACAGGAGGGAGAGGAGGGGAGUAUAGUGCACUGGGGGGAAGCCUGAUGCAGCAACGCCGCGUGCGGGAUGACGGCCUUCGGGUUGUAAACCGCUUUCGCCUGUGACGAAGCGUGAGUGACGGUAAUGGGUAAAGAAGCACCGGCUAACUACGUG
RNAcentral lists this ribosomal RNA (468 nucleotides) under uncultured bacterium. Its description in RNAcentral is "partial 16S ribosomal RNA". It matches the Rfam family "Bacterial small subunit ribosomal RNA", at positions 28 to 507 of the family's 1533-position model. The record is from RNAcentral.